Molecule: transfer RNA, 104 nt
Organism: Linderina pennispora
Lineage: Eukaryota; Fungi; Kickxellomycota; Kickxellomycetes; Kickxellales; Kickxellaceae
Rfam family: tRNA
About the family: Transfer RNA (tRNA) molecules are approximately 80 nucleotides in length. Their secondary structure includes four short double-helical elements and three loops (D, anti-codon, and T loops).
Source: Rfam
AGUCGCUUGGCCGAGUGGUUUAAGGCGGCAGACUUAAGUGCUUUUGUUAAGCGUAUGAUAUCUGCUCUCGUACGAGAUCGUGGGUUCGAACCCCACAGCGACUA